GAGGCCUGGCGGCAUGCUAUACAUGCAGUAGAACGCUGAAGAGAGGAGCUUGCUCUUCUUGGAUGAGUUGCGAACGGGUGAGUAACGCGUAGGUAACCUGCCUUGUAGCGGGGGAUAACUAUUGGAAACGAUAGCUAAUACCGCAUAACAAUGGAUGACACAUGUCAUUUAUUUGAAAGGGGCAAUUGCUCCACUACAAGAUGGACCUGCGUUGUAUUAGCUAGUAGGUGAGGUAAUGGCUCACCUAGGCGACGAUACAUAGCCGACCUGAGAGGGUGAUCGGCCACACUGGGACUGAGACACGGCCCAGACUCCUACGGGAGGCAGCAGUAGGGAAUCUUCGGCAAUGGGGGCAACCCUGACCGAGCAACGCCGCGUGAGUGAAGAAGGUUUUCGGAUCGUAAAGCUCUGUUGUAAGUCAAGAACGGGUGUGAGAGUGGAAAGUUCACACUGUGACGGUAGCUUACCAGAAAGGGACGGCUAACUACGUGCCAGCAGCCGCGGUAAUACGUAGGUCCCGAGCGUUGUCCGGAUUUAUUGGGCGUAAAGCGAGCGCAGGCGGUUUGAUAAGUCUGAAGUUAAAGGCUGUGGCUCAACCAUAGUUCGCUUUGGAAACUGUCAAACUUGAGUGCAGAAGGGGAGAGUGGAAUUCCAUGUGUAGCGGUGAAAUGCGUAGAUAUAUGGAGGAACACCGGUGGCGAAAGCGGCUCUCUGGUCUGUAACUGACGCUGAGGCUCGAAAGCGUGGGGAGCGAACAGGAUUAGAUACCCUGGUAGUCCACGCCGUAAACGAUGAGUGCUAGGUGUUGGAUCCUUUCCGGGAUUCAGUGCCGCAGCUAACGCAUUAAGCACUCCGCCUGGGGAGUACGACCGCAAGGUUGAAACUCAAAGGAAUUGACGGGGGCCCGCACAAGCGGUGGAGCAUGUGGUUUAAUUCGAAGCAACGCGAAGAACCUUACCAGGUCUUGACAUCCCGAUGCUAUUUCUAGAGAUAGAAAGUUACUUCGGUACAUCGGUGACAGGUGGUGCAUGGUUGUCGUCAGCUCGUGUCGUGAGAUGUUGGGUUAAGUCCCGCAACGAGCGCAACCCCUAUUGUUAGUUGCCAUCAUUCAGUUGGGCACUCUAGCGAGACUGCCGGUAAUAAACCGGAGGAAGGUGGGGAUGACGUCAAAUCAUCAUGCCCCUUAUGACCUGGGCUACACACGUGCUACAAUGGUUGGUACAACGAGUUGCGAGUCGGUGACGGCGAGCUAAUCUCUUAAAGCCAAUCUCAGUUCGGAUUGUAGGCUGCAACUCGCCUACAUGAAGUCGGAAUCGCUAGUAAUCGCGGAUCAGCACGCCGCGGUGAAUACGUUCCCGGGCCUUGUACACACCGCCCGUCACACCACGAGAGUUUGUAACACCCGAAGUCGGUGAGGUAACCUUUGGAGCCAGCCGCCUAAGGUGGA
This 1447-nucleotide ribosomal RNA is filed under the name Streptococcus thermophilus. Its description in RNAcentral is "bacterial SSU rRNA". It matches the Rfam family "Bacterial small subunit ribosomal RNA". Lineage: Bacteria; Bacillati; Bacillota; Bacilli; Lactobacillales; Streptococcaceae. The record is from RNAcentral.